This 726-nucleotide ribosomal RNA is filed under the name uncultured Alphaproteobacteria bacterium. RNAcentral's name for it is "bacterial SSU rRNA". It matches the Rfam family "Bacterial small subunit ribosomal RNA", at positions 512 to 1234 of the family's 1533-position model. Lineage: Bacteria; Pseudomonadati; Pseudomonadota; Alphaproteobacteria. The record is from RNAcentral.
CAGCCGCGGUAAUACGAAGGGACCUAGCGUAGUUCGGAAUUACUGGGCGUAAAGCGCGCGUAGGCCGUUGAGUUAGUUAAUUGUGAAAUCCCAAAGCUUAACUUUGGAACUGCAAUKAAAACUGCUCGACUAGAGUUUGAUAGAGGAAAGCGGAAUACAUAGUGUAGAGGUGAAAUUCGUAGAUAUUAUGUAGAACACCAGGUGGCGAAGGCGGCUUUCUGGAUCAACACUGACGCUGAGGCGCGAAAGUAUGGGUAGCAAAGAGGAUUAGAUACCCUCGUAGUCCAUACCAUAAACGAUGAUUGCUAGAUGUCGGAAAUUUAUCUUCAGUAUCGCAAGCUAACGCAUAAAGCAAUCCGCCUGGGGAGUACGACCGCAAGGUUAAAACACAAAUGAAUKGACGGGGACCCGCACAAGCGGUGGAGCAUGUGGUKUAAUGCGAAGAUACKCKCAGAACCUUACCAACCCUUGACAUGUCUGUCGCGAGUUUAGGAAACUAGACUUUUCGGUUCGGCCGGACAGAACACAGGUGCUGCAUGGCUGUCGUCAGCUCGUGUCGUGAGAUGUUGGGUUAAGUCCCGCAACGAGCGCAACCUCUACUUUUAGUUGCCAUCAGUAAGUGCUGGGCACUCUGAACGAACUGCCAGUGAUAAGCUGGAGGAAGGUGGGGAUGACGWCAAGUCCUCAUGGCCCUURCGUUUUGGGCUACACWCGUGCUACAUUGGU